RNAcentral lists this ribosomal RNA (506 nucleotides) under uncultured bacterium. RNAcentral's name for it is "partial 16S ribosomal RNA". It matches the Rfam family "Bacterial small subunit ribosomal RNA", at positions 30 to 523 of the family's 1533-position model. The record is from RNAcentral.
AUUGAACGCUGGCGGCAGGCCUAACACAUGCAAGUCGAACGGUAACAGGAAACAGCUUGCUGUUUCGCUGACGAGUGGCGGACGGGUGAGUAAUGUCUGGGAAACUGCCUGAUGGAGGGGGAUAACUACUGGAAACGGUAGCUAAUACCGCAUAACGUCGCAAGACCAAAGAGGGGGACCUUCGGGCCUCUAGCCAUCGGAUGUGCCCAGAUGGGAUUAGCUAGUAGGUGGGGUAACGGCUCACCUAGGCGACGAUCCCUAGCUGGUCUGAGAGUAUGACCAGCCACACUGGAACGGAGACACGGUCCAGACUCCUACGGGAGGCAGCAGUGGGGAAUAUUGCACAAUGGGCGCAAGCCUGAUGCAGCCAUGUCGCGUGUAUGAAGAAGGCCUUCGGGUUGUAAAGUACUUUCAGCGGGGAGGAAGGGAGUAAAGUUAAUACCUUUGCUCAUUGACGUUACCCGCAGAAGAAGCACCGGCUAACUCCGUGCCAGCCGCCGCAGUAA